This is a non-coding RNA of Heterocephalus glaber (naked mole-rat), 3058 nucleotides long. The record is from RefSeq and is a predicted model, not a curated record. NCBI's taxonomy places the organism in Eukaryota, Metazoa, Chordata, Mammalia, Rodentia, Bathyergidae.
GUGGGUAAAGAAAAAAGUAAAGGACUGACAUUAGUGUGGAGCUAGUAUACUUCUACUUUUGGUGUUCCUGUCCUGGGAUCUCUGCUUAAUGACCUGGAUAUUUAAUGAGGCCCUUCAUUUUGAUUGUGUAUGUCUCUUUCAAAUACUGAUGCUGCAGAUAUCAAGAUAUCAAGAGAGUUUUCUUGCCUACCUACUUUGCCAGGUGAAAUAAUCAGAUGUUUAAGUUUGGAAUCCAGCUGAGAAGAUGGCACCACAAAAAUGAUAAAUUUUCUACAUGGCUCUUCAUUCUUACCAAGGACAAGGAAAUCAUAGCUCAGGAAAUAAGACUCAACAUUUGCCAGAUGUUCAAUAUUUUUCCAUUACCUUCAAAGUACUUUCUCAGUAGUACCAGUAAAAAGAACAUCAGCAUUCUGCAAAUAUGGCAAAAUUUUAAACAAAGCUCGAAAUAAAGUUGCUCUAGAAUUAAACUACAAUGACAUUGAAAACUGGGGUGAAUUUUGAUCUCAUUAGCCUAAGAUUACUGUAUUGAAAGACCAUGGAAUUUCCCAAAGUGUCUUUUAAAAUUAUAUUUUCUGGGGCCAGGGAUUCAGUUCAGUGGUUCUGCCUAUUGCCUUGCAGGCUCAAGGUCCCAAGUUUGAUCCCCAGUACCAAAAAAAAAAAUUAAUUAUAUGUUAGAUUCUUUAUAUUUGCACUAUGCUGAAAGUCAUAGGAUUCUUACAAUUUUGUACAGUGGGUAUGAUUAAUAUCCUCAUUUGCAAAUGAGGAAUCUUAGGUUUAGAGAAGGGCAGUGACCUUGCCUAAGGGAUAGACCUGGAAAUAGUACUGAGCUAGUUAAGUUUCAAUACCUGGCCUUAGCUUUUUUCUCUAUUGCAUUAGUUGAGCACAGUUUUCCUACCCUGCAUCUCGUAAUACUGCCCUAGGGAAUUAGGCAUCUAAGGGUUUUAUCUUUUGUUGAUGUCCCCCACUAUUCUUCUGUCUGAUGAAAAACUUCCAUUUUUAUGUAAAUAUUUGUAGAGCUUUUUGUCUGUAUCUUUUCACUUCCAUUUCCCAUUCUUUCUCUGAGCUCCACAAAUGUGCUAUAAUCACUCUCACCCUCAAAGAUGUCACUUAACCCCUUUCUGCUCCACUGAUGCUACUUCCUAUUACUUUGCCCCCACCAUGGUUCUCAUAAGACAAGUCUCAGUGAUAUGCACCCUGCUUGGCUGUAUCCCAGAACUUCACUCAUAGGCAGCCGGCGUCUGCUUCUUUCACACUGUGGGAAGCGCUCUGCAGAGAAUGACUGAGGAUCAGAUGUGACAGUCUCUUUUCAGUCCUUAUUCUUCACCUUUCUGCAGUAUAAUCUAAAUCCCUUCAUUCUUUUAGAAAUUCUUUUUUUUAAAUUCUGUUAUGUGGUAUGAUUUUAUUUAUUUAUUUUAAAAUUCUGAGAUGUGAUUCUCUUAUCUAAAGCAAGAGUUGGCAAACUAUGACCCUUAGGUCAAAUUUGGCUCCCUGUUUGUGUUUGCAGAUAAGCUUUUAUUGGAACAUAGCCAAAUCUGCAGCAUUAUUGCUGCUUUCACACUACAAAAGCAUUCAGUAGUUAUGAGAGAAGGCUGUAGGGUUAACAAAACCAAAAAUAUCUACUGCCUGGCCAUUUAUAGGAUAAGGUUGCCAACUCUUGCUCUAAAUAAUUUGCCUGAAGGAUAUCACCCCAUGGUGUUCUUCUAAUACCCGAUGCUGAUGUAUGUAACCUUCUCCAUAAAAAGACACACUUUCUGAUUUCUUGUUAAGUCCACUAGUGUCUGUUCAUUUCUAUCAAACUUUACAGUUAAUAAAACACAUUCUCUUUUGCUAUCCCAGUCCUCACCAUUGUAGUCCUUAUUGUGUUUUCUCCUAGACUUUCAUAAUCAUUAAAUUCCUAAAUCCUGUGGGUUUGACAUCUACAUUACUUUUUUUGUCCUUUCUGUGAUAGUUAACUGAUUGUACCAACUUGAGUAACAAAUGCCCAACUAAAUUGGAUCGGCAUUGUUCUGGGUGUGGCUGAGGCGAUUCAAUGAAAAUUUGCUGGGAUUUUCUGGGGAUGAGUGACAAAAACCAAUGGGUUUGCUGUCUGAUGGUAUAAAGGGAAAUGAAGAAGGAAAGUUUGCUUUUGUUUCUUCAGAGGAGCUCCAGUCUUCACCUUCACCUUGGACAUCAUCUCCUUGCUUCAGACUCUUCGGCCUUCUGGCACAGACACUUUGCAUCAUGAUAGGGACUCCGAUGGACACUACAGUGAGCUCCAGGCCUUCGACCUUUGCCCCACCCUUUGACUGGACCCUUCACAUCUCCAGUGCACAGACAGCCCUUUGGCACCCUUUUACACUUGAACCUUCAGGCAGCCGCUGAAAGCCUACUUUGUAAAUCCUUAUAUAUUUUACAUUAAAUCUCUUUCUCUGGUAAGCACUGAAUGAUACAUUUUCCUUAUAAUUCCCACUGCUCCUACUUUGUCAAACCUUCUAAAAUCUCAUCUGUCUCUCUCCACUGAGCUCUAUUUGACACCUCAGAAUUAUUCUUUGUAGAAAGAGCAGUUAUGAUCAGAUCUCUCCCCUGGCCAACAAGCUUCAGUUUGCAUUUAUUGCUUACCUAGUUGUGUACCAUGGUUACUAGCCUGCUGGCCAUCUGAACUCACCUGACACUGGCAGUUUAAUCUGUUUCUCUGAAUGAACUUUAUAUCUCCCCACCCCUGACUAGACUAUCAGGUGUUCCUAGGACACACCUCAUGUGGUCACUUCUGCACCUUUGACUGUGCUGUUCCUUCUGUCUGGAAAUGGCUUUCUCCAAUCUGUUCAGAUCCAAUUCAUUUAAGGAUGCCUGGAAUAUAAGCUACUCCAUGAACAUUUUGCUGACCUCCCCAAACAAGUAAUUUGAUUUCCGCAUUUUCUUUUUCUAAUAAAUAUUUGGGUGUUUAUAUCCACAAUUAUGCUCAAAGACCUUCAGUGAGAGAUCAGAUCUCACCUAUCAAGAAGCCCAAAUUAACCCAGUAAGACAAUUCCAGAAGAAACCACCUGAAAUAUUUUUGAAGAAGGUCCAAAAGAUAGAAAUA